UACGUAGGGAGCAAGCGUUGUCCGGAAUCAUUGGGCGUAAAGCGCGCGUAGGCGGCCCCGUAAGUCCGCUGUGAAAGUCAAAGGCUCAACCUUUGAAAGCCGGUGGAUACUGUGGGGCUAGAGUCCGGAAGAGGCGAGUGGAAUUCCUGGUGUAGCGGUGGAAUGCGCAGAUAUCAGGAGGAACACCAAUAGCGAAGGCAGCUCGCUGGGACGGUACUGACGCUAAGGCGCGAAAGCGUGGGGAGCGAACGGGAGUUAAGAA
This 262-nucleotide ribosomal RNA is filed under the name uncultured bacterium. RNAcentral describes it as "partial 16S ribosomal RNA". It matches the Rfam family "Bacterial small subunit ribosomal RNA", at positions 524 to 785 of the family's 1533-position model. The record is from RNAcentral.